GCAGGAUUCCUCUGAUUAGUCUGAGUGACUCCAGGUGAGUUCAGGUGAGCUCUGAUUGACCAGACUCACAGUUCAUGUGUCUCAGCUCCUUCAUGCAUCUCUGACUGUUUCAGACCGCAGUCAGAUUUAAACCAGGUGAGAGGUCAAAGGCGCAUGCUGAGGAAGUCUUUCACAUCAUGUGCUGCUCUUUGUCCUGAAUGAAGCCAGCAAACAUCUGAGUAUCCAUGAAGAGCUGCAGGAACUGGCGGACUCCACGGGAGGGAUGAGAUUUCCGGAAGCUGUCGCGCUGUAGUUCCCUGCUUCCGUUGGAAGACUCAGCCAUGUGGAGAGAAUAGUGGCCCACCAGCUCCACGAAGAAUCGCACGAAACCCUCAGAGACCAGAGAGCUCAGGUCAGCCUGCUGACCUGGAUGAGCCAAACAAAUGGUUCAAUAACACAGCAGUGUUUUACAAGACGAUCUGACUGAUGUUUGACAUGCUAAUGGAUGUCGUUUACAUGACUAAACAUCUUUACUGUGGCGCACAAAUUGAUGUAUUACAGAUGAUGAUGAGAGAAUAAAUUUAACUUCUCAGCA
Molecule: long non-coding RNA, 574 nt
Organism: Scatophagus argus
Lineage: Eukaryota; Metazoa; Chordata; Actinopteri; Scatophagidae
Exons: 3
Source: RefSeq, a predicted model, not a curated record